CGUGAAUGUUUCUACUGCUGUAUGAGGAUGAAGAAAUUUUGUGAAAUAUGCAAUCUCUUUAUGGCAUGUCGGCAUGUAAGCUGGUGAACAUCGAUGAAUUUGCAUGCAUUUCUAUGUAGAAAUUUUAGAUACGUACAUUUUGAUGGUUGCUCAUUGUUAUACUUGCACUCAAGCCAUGCUCGCCUCCUGGUUUCUUGUUUCCAUGCGGAAGCUUAAGCUGGAAACAUCCAUCAUUCAUGUUGUUCCAGUCACGCUGUCUGGCUGGUUGCAUUAUCGGGUGGAAGCCUAACGUUAUGUGGUUGAUGUGCUAGUUCUGCAUUUCUCAUGUCAUUUAUUAAAGCAGGCGAUAUUAUGCAUUGAAAUGGAUGUAGAUGUUUGUGUUUAUAUGUGGUGAAGACGUGAAGUUGUAGCAGUUUUGCUUUUUUUUCUCGUGUUCUUUGCAGUUCAUAUAUUUAGCCCAUCUUUGACACUAAAUAUACCUUGUGCUUGUUAGGAGACAAGCAGAAUUUGGUCAGCUCGUAAUGCGAAUAUGCCUCAAAAUGUAGUGACAUAAAAGGCAACUACGGCAAGAGUAGGAGACCUCAUGGAGGGCAAAAUCAAGUUAGUGGCGACAACAUAAUAUGUAGAGUAUGUCCAGAGUCGGACUUGCAGCAGCGCUCAGCUUAUCAGUUUGAUUGGCUUACCUAGUGGUAGUGCAAAAUUACCUCCGAUGCACACUUUUAUUCAUGCCUAGGAAAAGAUAUCCAGUGACAUGCAUGGCAAACCAAAUUUGAUGGUUAUCUUUUGUUGAAAGCUAACAUGUACGAUGAGACCUGAUGAGGCCUGCCAGAUCAACUGCUGGAGGGAGCGGUGCACACCGGGAGCGGUUGGCAGUUUUUUGAGGUGGUUUUGGUGGAGGGGAGAGGUGGAUGCGGUAUGUCCUACUGUAGCAGCAGGAGCGAGAGGGAGAAGUGUGUGCAGGAGGGAGCUACCAUGGCCACCAUAUCUGACUAGCCGGACUUGCUUUUUCCCCCUGUUAUUGAGCUGAUGGAUGUUAGUUGCUCCAGCGACGUGGUAUUUUGUUUCCUAGAAGAUCGAGGGCGAUGUCAUGCUAUCGCAGUAGCUUGUCAUAGAAUAGAAAAUGCUAGCUUGCUCCUUUAGAUUGUAUAAUGUUAUGUGAAGCCUAGCUUAAGAUUGCUGUCAUGUUCAACAUGUAGAUUCGGCAAUGAAAGCCAUUGGCAGCAUAAUUUUUGAAGGCCAGUGAAAACUUGAAUGAAACCUUUGUAAAAUUCAGCAUCA
This is a long non-coding RNA of Lolium perenne, 1278 nucleotides long. RefSeq lists it as uncharacterized. The record is from RefSeq and is a predicted model, not a curated record. NCBI's taxonomy places the organism in Eukaryota, Viridiplantae, Streptophyta, Magnoliopsida, Poales, Poaceae.